CUUAAAGAGACAGGGAUGCUUGGGUGUAAACCGGCUGAAACACCCAUGGACUCUAGUACUAAACUUCGAAGAAAUAAGGAAAGCAUUCCCGCGGACAAAGGACUUGUCAGAAAGUUGAUUUAUCUUUCACACACCAAACUAGAUAUAGGAUUCUCAGUCAGUGUAGUAAGCUAAUUCAUGAAUGAUCCAACCGAAGAACAUAUGAAAGCUUUCAACCGAAUAUUGAGGUACCUGAAAACAACACUAGGUAAAGGCUUAUACUUCAGGAAAACUACAAGGAAAGACAUUGAAGUGUUCAUUGAUGCUGUCCGGGACGAGUCUAUAACUGAUAGAAGGUCAACAUCUGGUUAUUGUACAUAUGCGAAGGAAAACCUGGUAGCAUGGCGAAAUAAAAAACAACUAGUAGUUUCUCAAAGCAGUGUAGGGGCGGCAUUUAGAGCUAUGGCACUUGGAAUUUGUAAGGGAAUAUGACUGAAAAGACAAAUAAAGGAACUAGGAACCAUCAC
This 506-nucleotide long non-coding RNA is filed under the name Olea europaea subsp. europaea. The record is from RNAcentral. Lineage: Eukaryota; Viridiplantae; Streptophyta; Magnoliopsida; Lamiales; Oleaceae.